This 192-nucleotide ribosomal RNA is filed under the name uncultured Sphingobacterium sp. RNAcentral describes it as "partial 16S ribosomal RNA". It matches the Rfam family "Bacterial small subunit ribosomal RNA", at positions 335 to 524 of the family's 1533-position model. The record is from RNAcentral. Lineage: Bacteria; Pseudomonadati; Bacteroidota; Sphingobacteriia; Sphingobacteriales; Sphingobacteriaceae.
ACUCCUACGGGAGGCAGCAGUAAGGAAUAUUGACCUAUGGAGGGAACUCUGAACCAGCCAUGCCGCGUGCAGGAUGACUGCCCUAUGGGUUGUAUACUGCUUUUCUCCGGUAAUAAACCUUUCCACGUGUGGGAAGCUUAAUGUACCUGAAGGAUAAGGAUCGGCUAACUCCGUGCCAGCAGCCGCGGUAAU